GCCAACAUGGUGUAGUGGUUUGAGCAUUAGACUAUGACUCCGGAGACCAGGGUUCGAAUCCCAGCUCGGACA
This 72-nucleotide transfer RNA is filed under the name Phrynosoma platyrhinos (Desert horned lizard). Its description in RNAcentral is "tRNA-OTHER". The record is from RNAcentral. Lineage: Eukaryota; Metazoa; Chordata; Lepidosauria; Squamata; Phrynosomatidae.